AGUGCACAUUGUUAGAGCUUGGAGUUUAGGCCACUGAUUGGCCAGUGAAAUCACAAGUGUAGGUAGAGUGCUACAUGAGAGGCAAGUUUUUCACUCACACCACAAGGGUCUCUGGCCCCAACGAGUGGAGUUUGAUAGUAAUCCUUGCUACAAGU
Nycticebus coucang (slow loris) is the source of this 155-nucleotide small nucleolar RNA. NCBI's taxonomy places the organism in Eukaryota, Metazoa, Chordata, Mammalia, Primates, Lorisidae. The record is from RefSeq and is a predicted model, not a curated record.